Long non-coding RNA from Sycon ciliatum, 995 nucleotides. RefSeq lists it as uncharacterized. The record is from RefSeq and is a predicted model, not a curated record. The transcript is spliced from 2 exons. Lineage: Eukaryota; Metazoa; Porifera; Calcarea; Leucosolenida; Sycettidae.
GUUUUGAAAUGGACUGUAGACAUGUACCAACUCACUGACAUCAUCGAUGACGUCAUAGCGAUUUAACCCUAAAACCGGGGGAUUUAACCCUAAUUUUCCGAUUUACGGUAAUUUUUGCGAUUUAACCUAAAAUCGGAGCGUUUUACAUAUGACGUAAUGCGAUUUAACCCUAAUAACCGAGGCGUUUUAACCCUAAAAAUCGGGGCAUAUUAACCCUAAUAAUCCCGGUAACCCUAACCCUAUCACUAGGGACUUCAGACCACGUGACUUCUUGGCCCAAAAGCGUGCAAAUCGACGCCUGCACAAAUCGUGUGAUGGUCAUAUGUCAAGUCGUGUAGAGAAAUGUGGAACCGUUUUUCGAAAUGAAGGAAGUCUUGUACAGUUGGAGAAAGUUUCGGUUCGUCUUGUUGGAGCUUGCCUUCGUUUGGGACCAGCAAGAAUGGAGCUGUUACGUUCAUUUUUGACGGAGUUACGUAUGCGGAUGGAAGGGAAAGCGCCGCCAUAGUCACAGUAUGGAAAGCAGCGAGAAGUAUCCUGCGCUAAAUGAUGCUGAUGUACAAAUUGAAUUGCUCUUGGCUGUUUCGGUCCAUGCCUCGAUUCUUGUCUCCGAUGCUGUUAUGCUCGAUCUGGUUGAGCUCCGCAAGAAUAGCUGAAAGAGUGCCGAACUGGGAGAUGUGCUAUAUACUCUUGUUGCUAUUUGCUGUAUCUCUGCCGAUGAUGAUGUGCGUGCUACGAUUACCCCAGCCAAUACAAUGUCCUGUACAUGUACAUGUUGAGCUUAGUCAGUGCCUCUUCCGUGAUCAUUCUUUUUCUUGACACCAACCACGCCAACAGUCCGAAGCUAUCUCAGGACUGUAUUAUCAAUGUCUCCUGUUACUAACCACUACAUUGUAAACCAUACUAUUCAGCUAUUUCAUGCGGAGAAUCAAGAUUGUUUUUGGAUCUGGUGUACGGUUGCUAUGCGUUGCCAAGGACAGUGGGUUCUCUCAGUUUGA